Long non-coding RNA from Hibiscus syriacus, 235 nucleotides. RefSeq lists it as uncharacterized. The record is from RefSeq and is a predicted model, not a curated record. The transcript is spliced from 3 exons. Lineage: Eukaryota; Viridiplantae; Streptophyta; Magnoliopsida; Malvales; Malvaceae.
GCAAAGGUGUGGUGAUCUUCCUCAGGCCAGUGGUUCUUUAAGUUUAUUCUAUCAGUGCUCUGGCUGCGUCGGUGGGUUAUUACGACGUCUGCAAAGUCCAGUACACUUGCAGUUUAGUUGCUCACUGCAACUUACACUUGCUUUGCUGAUAGCUAUUUUUCCUAUUGUGUCAUUUGUGCUUUAUUUGAGUUGAGAGCGAGUGGCCGCUAUGUGCUGUUGAUCAAGACCAAGAGGU